GGACUAGUAAGCAAAUUUGAUUAGGAGAUCAACUUCCCAACGGACAUUGACAAUGGUAACAUUAGAUAUUUAGAAAAGCCUUCUCUUCCCAAGGAAAGGGAUUGACCAUAGUCAACUCGGUUCACCAAAUGGUAAAGAGAAAGGCAAGUCUGAGAUAGUCCAGUGCACCAUUCCUAAAGACUCCAUAUGUUUUGCCAAAGGAAGGGGCAUUGAUAGCGAAACUGCCUAUUUACCUGAAACAUCAUAAGGUUGAUCGAGUCAAAAAGUUUGACUCUACUUCAGGUAAAGACCAGUAUCUAACUCUGUUAAGUUUCUAUUAUGAGAUACAUGAUGUGACUGGGUCACAUGUAGAUGUUUUAAAAAUCAAAGAAAAUUGAAAAAACUUAAAGGAAGUAUAUGUUGAUUCUGAUCGCAAAAAUGGAUUUUGAUCGCAUGGUUCGGUGAUCAGAAUUUGGAGCUAUUACUUAGGAGUUAUGAUAUAUUUCUUAGGAAUAGAUAACAACAAAGUUUUUCAUAUACAUUUGCACUGUAAGGGUAAGUUUUUCCGCAAAGUUUUAAAAUAAAAAGAAAUUUUUUAUUUCAGUUAUUCUAAGUAUCCUUACAAUGGCGUUUGUGGAAAAUUGUUGCUUAUAUGAUUCCACUGAUAGAAAUAUUGGAAAAUGGAUUUGUUCCUUUCAUUUGUGGUAGUGUCUAAAUUUACCAAAUAAGGAAAUAUUCUCAUCACCCAAGGUUUCAGUUGGAUAGAAACUUGAGAAUUAUGCAAGUUAUAUAGUAUGAUGAAUGGGAAUUUUCAUCUUUGGAAAAUUAAGACUAAUUCCUUAUUCACAUGUAUAUGUGAGUCAAGUGAAGGGCUAAGGGAUCAAAUACACAUUCUUGUGCACUGAUCAAGUCCACCACAAAAGAUCAAUAAGACUAUUUGUCAUGAUUUACUAAAGUUUAAUAUGGUUAUACUUACAAGUUUAAGUAUAACUCUGAACCAUUGGAAAAGUUUUGAUGUAUGGCAGAACGAAUGAGAAGAAUCAAAUUAGGCAGAAGGAUAAAAGUUUCUCAAAUCUGAAAAGAUGGGAGAGUACUUUAGUAUCAGGUUUUGUGAUCAUCUUACUGAUUUAGAAAUCAUAUCACAAUUAGUCCUCAAAGGAAAUCUUAGUGCAUUCUUAUGACUAAGAAUAGGAAUCUUGAAUUUUUGGAAUGGUUAAAUCUAGAAGAUGAGUCAUACUUCGUUCCAAAACAAGUCUUAGAGUCAUACUCCAAGACUGUAAGUUAAGUGACAUAUCUUAAAGAAAGGUUUAUAACACUUGUCAAAUGUAAGAGUAAAAGUGUCCUACUCUUGUACAUUUGAAAUUGGUAAGUUGUGAUGUUUUGGAUAAAACAAAGACCAACUAAGGCCAAUUGUAUGAAGUGUUUGUCUUGAUAAAGAAUCUGCACUAUCUCUUGAAUAUUUGGCAAGAGUGUCUUAUAUGUCAAGAGGACAGUGGGAGUCUUAAAGAUCAAGAAGAAAAACCUAUAGUUUAUAACUAGCACAUGACUUGAGGUUUAUAACCUAUCGUGUUGACAUAUUCCUACUUAUGUGCCCAUUCCAGUGAAAAUUGUCUUUGCAUAUAAGUUCUGAGAGUUCUCAAUUGGUUUCAUAACAACAUGGAAGCAAUGGCAGGCCCUUGUGCUGCCAGGUGGCAAGAAGUUAAGACAGCACAAGUUCAAUCCAUAUGAGUUUGGAUUUUUCAUUAAUCGUGUCUUGUGAUUAUGGUUUUGACAAAUUCACAGGGAUAGGAACACAUACACCAUAAAAUCUAAAUGUCAUAAGGGUUCUCUUUGAUUCAUGAAAAUAAUGGUGAGGAAACGCUUUCACUAAGUAGAUUUUAGGUAGAUGGCAAGUAUGAUAUUUUUAUUCUCAAAGUCGGUAGUGGAGCGUGUGUCGUUAACCGGCACACUAACAUGGACUUGUGAGGAAUGGCAAAAGGUCUAAACAAUUGAGACUAUGAUUACUACAUCCCUUUUCAUAGUUCUAAAAUUGUUUAGACACACGUGUGUGCUAUCUAAGGAAAGGUGUAUGAUUUUGAUAAAGUUUUAUCAAAGCAUCUCGUAUCAGAAAUAUGAACUUUGGUAAGAAGGUCAAUAAAGUAUUGAUUUCUAGAUGUUCAACAGAUUUCUAAGUAUAUGUCAAAGCUAGUGUGAGCAUAAGCUUCAUGCUAAUAAUCAUCAUGCAAGUGGGAGCAUGAUAAUUAUAAUAAGUGUUGCAAGUUAGCAAUGUUAAUUAUAGAAAAACAAAAGGUUUCAAUUGGGAAAAAGUUGUUUUGCUAUAAUUAAGGGAGAGGAAAAUAUACUUCACUUCAAUUCUAAAAGCUUAGAUUGAGGUUUUAAUCAUAUUUAGUCAAGGAUAUAUAUAUAUAUAUAUAUAUAUAUAUUUAUUUCAUGUUGGAAUGGCUCAACAUAAGGAAAUUCUAUAUAUGGGUCCAUUAUUUGCGUUCUAAAAUUUGAUUAUGAUUACGACAUCCCUUUUCGUAAUAUGAAUUAUGAGAACUUGGCAAAUAGAAAUAGAAAUAUUAUAGCAAAAGGAUAGUCUAGUAUCAUGUCUUUAUGAAUCGUGUCCCAUAUGCUUCGGAUAUAGGAUCGAUUGCAUGUGCUAUACUAUUCAUCUGUUCUAAAUUUUUCAAAAUGCCCAUAGCAUUAACAAGGAAAAAGUACUAGAAGUAGAUAUGACUAAAAUGAUUAAGCAAUUGUCAAGGACAAUCUAAGGAUUACCAAAGAUUGGUUGCUCAAGGACAGUUGGAAGUAUAGUGUUAAUUUUGGAAGGACCAUAUUGACAUAUUCUGAAAAGAGGCAACUUUUGUUCAAGAGUAAUAGUCAAAAGGGAAAUAUGGAAAUGUUCCUAUAGGUGGAAGUUAUUCAUUAAAUAUGUGUAAGAUUAGGAAACUUAAUGCAAGAAGAAUGUUCAAUGGCAAUGAACUUUCAAUAUGAGACUUCGGUUCCAUGGAGUUAGUCUCCAUUGGAAUACUCUGUAAUGUAUGUUGACAAGUCUUUGUGACUUUGUGCAUAAUCAUUACAAGAGGACCAAUGCAUAUAAGUUUAGAAUCUAACAGAUUUAGGUAAAUGGCAGGAAUUUGGAAUUCUUGCAUUUGCAGUAAGGAAUUGGGAAUGUGAAAUGAGAAUCAUUGAAAUUAUGUUCAAUCGAUCUAUUUCACAAAGUAAAGAUCAUAGACAAACUUAGUAUGCAUACUUGGUGUAUGGCAUGACUAGUGUUUAGAAAACAUAGUGUACAUGCUUGGAGCAUGGGACAACUAUUGCUUUAAUUCAAGUAUAAAGUUGAUAGUUUGAAACAGUAUGCAAUUAAUGAUGGGUAAUCAAUAUCAUGAUAAAUAAAAGAUGUGUUAUUUAUAUUCAUAAGUUCUGAGACCAUACUAGAUUCGAUUAUUCUUGUGUUUCAGUUUUGAUGUUUUGACUUCCAGAAUAACUAGGUCGUUUUUCCUGAAUGACUAAGUUAUUCAAACCAUCCACAUUCGGUCAUAUGUUGGAAGUAGAUAUGAAUCAAGACUAUCAUGGGUUGGCUUGUACAGGUCUAAGAUGUUGGACAAAGUGGUGCUACAACACUCAUGAGUGCUCAUAAGUUCUUAGUAUUGGGUUCAACCCACGCUCAUUGGAAUCAAUUCAUGGAUUUUAUCACGAGUGAUCAUGAGACGAUAAUAUCUUAUUCUUCAAACCUAGAGAUAUGAGUUGUUACUAUGAAUUGGUUAUACAUUGAUCGCACGAAAACUCAUUGGUAACUCGAUGUUAUAAAACGUGCCUUUGUGUAUGAUUCAAAAAGUAGUAGAAUAAGCCAUAUGAUUCGAAGUUUAUCCAUUCCUUUUACCUUCUGGAUAAAAGUGAUAUAUGUGGGCCCCUCGAUGAUUUAGUGAUGACACCCCGAAGUGCUUGGCCAAGCCAGGACUAAUUUGAUUUGUUCAAUUAGUCGGUCGUCAUAAAUAGGAAAUCGGGAAACAAAAAAUGGACAGAGAGAAUGAUUUUAAUCCAUGUCUCAGUCCAUAUGAUAUCUAGAAUGGAGGAAUAUAUGAUCCCUUAUCUAAUGGAAAAAUCAUUGACAAAGGUCAGAGUUCAUCGACAAGGUCAGAGUUCGACAACGGAUUUUGAGAGCUACGAUUACCAGUUGGUUUUUGAAGUAAUUCGCAAUAAAUGUUUUAGACUUAUCCAAGUAGGAGACUGUUGGAUUAGUAUCUAAGUGCAUAACUAUAUUUGGUAUGUACUUGACCCGACUCGGCAUGGUCCAUUUGGGUUGCAUGGCAUCAUGCAUUUGGAUACACUAAAAUGAGAGAAAUAACACUUAAGGUUGGUAAUAUAUUAUAAGUUCUAAUAUAUUAAUAAGAUUAUUUAAUUAGUAUUUAUCAAGAAUUAAUUUGGAUUUAAUUAAGUGAUCAAAAGGAGACUAAUUAAUUAUAUGGGUUGAUUGUGUAAAUCAUCCAUACUUGUAUAGUGGGCUAAUGCUCAAUGGAUGAUCAAGUUGGGCUAAAACCCAUAGGAUGCCCCAUGGUGUUUUUGUACCCAUGGAUCAUGGAAAUGAAAGUCCAUGACAAUUAGGGUUUACACGGUGUAACCUUAAUUGUGACACACUAUAUAACCAUCUUAUUCUUGUCAAAAUCGGCAACCAUGAGUGACUAUGAAGGAAUGGUGAGGGCUAGCCGAUUUCAUGAAGUGUAUCAUUUCUCUCUAAGUUAUUCCAAGUGCAUUUGAUGUUGUGUGAACCAUUUGAGGUGUCAUACUUGGGGCACUAGGCUCUCGAGCUUCAUGGAGUUAAGCUACAUCAACAAGGUAUGUAUUUCUAUCUAGUUUAUUAUUCAAGUAUAAAAAGGUUGUAUGCUAGUUAGGUUAAUACAUUGGAAUAUUAAUAUUUGCAUGUAUAAUAGAGAAAAAACAGAUUCAAGGUAUUUAGGGUUGCAUGUACACUUAGGAGUGUUAGAAUGCUCAUAACCCAACGGUGGUAUCAGAGCCUAGGCUUGUUUUCUUGUUAUUCUUGCAAAAUUGGCUGAAAAUCGAAGUUUUUAUGUUGUCUGGACAGCAGACUCACCGAGUCCAUAAAGGGACUCAAUUAGUCCAAGGCAAAACUCAUCCAACUCGCCGAUUUGGUUCAUGCACUCGACGAGUUGGACCCCCAGACAGCAUAUCUUCGACUGUUUUGGCUGGAAAUGGACUAGGAACAUUACCGUAAGCUGUUUUUUAACUUAUAAACCUAUUUUUGGUAUGGUAAUGUUCAUUUUAAUCCAAUUUAAAAGAUAAUUGUCAAUAGAUUCAUGUUUUGUAUAAGUUUAAUGGCUAGGCUAAUUACAUGAAAAAGUUUCAUUGAAUUAUCUUGUUCUUAUGAGUUGCUUAGAUUAAUAGAAAAGUUAUGUGAAAUUAUAGUUUUCAAUCCAAAUUAAUCUAAGAGUUGGUUGUAAAAUGUGUUUUUGUUACUUGUCCUCAAGUUAUAUGAAAAGUCACAUUUAAGAUUCAUAAAACUCAUAAAUAUUUCCAUAGGUUAUGAAUAAAGAAAAGUCAUAUUCUUUUAGUAGUUUAAAGACCUCCAUAACUUGUCCUCAGGUUAUGGAACUUCAAGAGUUUUUUGGAUUAAAACUACUUUAAACACAUAAGUUAAGGAAUUGAAUAGUUUUGAAUUGUUUCAAAACUUACCCUCAAGUUUUGGAAUUUGAAAAGUUUUCCCUUAUGAAUACUUUAAUUCCAAGUUAAGCCCUUAGAAUUUUAAAAGUUAAAAUUCAACCCUUAUAUUUUAUUAAAUUAUAAGUUAAUUAUAUAUAUAUAUAUGUGUGUGUGUGUGUGUGUGUGUGUAUGUAUAAGAGCAAGUCAUAUUGCCAUUAGUAGGCCUCAUUCACGAAGUCGUUCUAUAAGGGGGGUAUAAGGUUACUGCCUAUAAAAUGGCAGUUUAAUGGGUGUCCACUCUCACCCACCGCUUCCUUGACUGGUGGAGGGUCGUUAGCCGAACGGGUAGGACAAGGACUAGAAUUCUCCCUUAAUUAAAAGUAUUAAUGAUAAAUAUAAAGUAACUAAAAUGUUUUUAUAAUUCCCAAUCUUAGUUACUUCAGGAAAAUGUGAAUAAGGUGUUAAUCCAUGAAAUUACACUUUGCAUUUUGCUUAAGUCGGUUAGUGGAGCGCGUGUGGUUAACUGGCACACUAGCCGGAUUUAACAAGGUAGGCAAAGGGUAACUUAAUAUUUAUCAUAGUAUCGGUGGAGCGCGUGUGGUUAACCAGCACAUCGAUUAAGAGGUAAAUCUUAAGGGUACCAAGUAAUUUGCAUGGUUACUUUACACCUUGUUUUGUGAUCCUCGGCAUCCUAAUCACAAAACCUGAAGGGCACACUCAAGAUUGAAACAUGCCAUUGAACAGUUCAAUGAAUCUCAAAAGAUCUAGGAGUUUCAAAUCCAAUUAAAACCUAUUAAAUUAUUUUGUUUUCAUGGUGGAAAUUGGUGAAUCGCCAUUCGCCUACCUUCAAAUAUUCUAUCGCUUGGAUUAUGGCAUCCCUCUUCCAAGUUAUAAAAUAUUGUGUUGGGUCCUAGCCUUAAUAUUUCAUAUUGGGUGUUAUAUUAAGGACUUUAAAUCAACUAUCUUGAAUAUCUCCCAAAAAGAUGUCUGUUUCAGACAUCUAUGAUCUUCCCAAAUCUCUUGGAACUUCACCUCCUCCACCUCCUCCAAUUAUUCUCCCUUACCCACAAGUUCAAGGUCACUCAAGCCCUAAUGGCAAGCAAGGUCUAUGUGUGCUCACAUCUUGGAGAUGAAGUCACAUAUUGAUAAGCCGGGAGAGUUGGGUGUCAAAGUCUUAAGAAAGUUGGUUGUUCAAUCACUUUCUAAGUCACAUAGUGAGUUACCUCUGGGACUACUAUGAAACAGACUAUGACAUGACCCUUAAUGAUCUUAUCUAUUUGCUUGGUGCUGUUGAAUCAACAAUGAUUUUAGGACUACUAAAGCAAAUUUGAUUAGGAGAUCAACUUCCCAAUGGACAUUGACAAUGGUAACAUUAGAUAUCUAGAAAAGCCUUCUCUUCCCAAGGAAAGGGAUUGACCAUAGUCAACUCGGUUGAUCAAAUGGUAAAGAGAAAGGCAAGUCUAAGAUAGUACAGUUCACCAUUCCCAAAGAGUCCAUAUGUUUUGCCAAAGGAAGGGGCAAUGAUAGCAAAACUGCCUAUUUACCUGAAACAUCAUAAGGUU
RNAcentral lists this long non-coding RNA (7181 nucleotides) under Lactuca sativa (garden lettuce). RNAcentral's name for it is "long non-coding RNA (LSAT_LNC004983)". Lineage: Eukaryota; Viridiplantae; Streptophyta; Magnoliopsida; Asterales; Asteraceae. The record is from RNAcentral.